Molecule: ribosomal RNA, 497 nt
Filed under: uncultured bacterium
Lineage: Bacteria
Description: partial 16S ribosomal RNA
Rfam family: Bacterial small subunit ribosomal RNA
Source: RNAcentral
GAUGAACGCUGGCGGCGUGCCUAAUACAUGCAAGUCGAGCGAACAGACGAGGAGCUUGCUCCUCUGACGUUAGCGGCGGACGGGUGAGUAACACGUGGAUAACCUACCUAUAAGACUGGGAUAACUUCGGGAAACCGGAGCUAAUACCGGAUAAUAUAUUGAACCGCAUGGUUCAAUAGUGAAAGACGGUUUUGCUGUCACUUAUAGAUGGAUCCGCGCCGCAUUAGCUAGUUGGUAAGGUAACGGCUUACCAAGGCAACGAUGCGUAGCCGACCUGAGAGGGUGAGCGGCCACACUGGAAGGGAGACACGGUCCAGACUCCUAAGGGACGGAGCAGUAGGGAAUCUUCCGCAAUGGGCGAGAGCCUGACGGAGCAACGCCGCGUGAGUGAUGAAGGUCUUCGGAUCGUAAAACUCUGUUAUUAGGGAAGAACAAAUGUGUAAGUAACUAUGCACGGCUUGACGGUACCUAAUCAGAAAGCCACGGCUAACUACGUG